GUCUCCAACGUAUCUAUAAUUUUUGAUGGUUUCAUGCUAUUAUCUUGUCAAACUUUGGAUGUUUUGUAUGCCUUUUAUAUCUUUUUCGGGACUAACUUAUUAACUCAGUGCCAAGUGCCAGUUCUUGUUUUUUCCGUGUUUUUGACCCUUUUCAGAGGAGGAUUUUAAACGGAGUCCAAAUGGAACGAAACUUCCAAAAAG
This 201-nucleotide long non-coding RNA is filed under the name Hordeum vulgare. RNAcentral describes it as "long non-coding RNA (HVUL_LNC011982)". The record is from RNAcentral. Lineage: Eukaryota; Viridiplantae; Streptophyta; Magnoliopsida; Poales; Poaceae.